RNAcentral lists this ribosomal RNA (256 nucleotides) under uncultured bacterium. RNAcentral describes it as "partial 16S ribosomal RNA". It matches the Rfam family "Bacterial small subunit ribosomal RNA", at positions 1066 to 1320 of the family's 1533-position model. The record is from RNAcentral.
CGUGAGAUGUUGGGUUAAGUCCCGCAACGAGCGCAACCCCUAUCCUUUGUUGCCAGCACGCAAUGGUGGGAACUCAAAGGAGACUGCCGCGGACAACGCGGAGGAAGGCGGGGAUGACGUCAAGUCAUCAUGCCCCUUAUGUCCUGGGCUACACACGUACUACAAUGGGAUGGACAGAGAGCAGCGAAGCCGCGAGGCCAAACGAACCCCAUAAACCAUCUCCCAGUUUCGGAUUGCAGGCUGCAACCCGCCUGCA